This 119-nucleotide ribosomal RNA is filed under the name Hordeum vulgare subsp. vulgare (domesticated barley). Lineage: Eukaryota; Viridiplantae; Streptophyta; Magnoliopsida; Poales; Poaceae. The record is from RNAcentral.
AUGCGAUCAUACCAGCACUAAAGCACCGGAUCCCAUCAGAACUCCGAAGUUAAGCGUGCUUGGGCGAGAGUAGUACUAGGAUAGGUGACCUCCUGGGAAGUCCUCGUGUUGCAUUCCCC